UUAACCCUGAGGGGUAGCUCAGUUGGUCAGGCCUUGGGUUUGCUCCCCAAUGGUCACCAGUUCGAGUCCCCUCAGGGCCACUGGAGGUUUACCCGGUUGUUAACUUCAGGGCCCCGUGGGAUUAGUCGAGGUGCGCGUAAGUUGGCCCGGACAUCCACGGUUAUCAAAAAAAAAAAAAAAAAAAAAAAAAAAAAAUUUGGGUAUGGUUGAACCAAUGGUCCCCUUGGUUACCUACAAUUCUGCAACUUUUCUAAUUUAAUGAUCAAUUUUAUUGGGAAAAUGUUGAUGCAUGAAAUAGGCAUAAUUUUGACAAAUGAUAAUAAUCAAAAGUAGAUAUAAUGCGACAUAGGAAAAGUGUAAUUAAGCUUUAAAAAGUAACAAACCAAGCUUUACCCUUCAACUACUGAUCAUGACCAAAAAACAUGCACACAUGAACCUACUAGAAUUCUUUUGCCUUCCCUGCUCAAUCCAAAGCAUUGAAAAAUAAAAAUAAAAAUAAAAAUCAAGAAUGAAAUAAAAAAAAAAGAAAUUAAUUAUUUUUGUUGUGAGAUCAUGCUGAGG
RNAcentral lists this long non-coding RNA (561 nucleotides) under Vitis vinifera (wine grape). RNAcentral's name for it is "long non-coding RNA (VVIN_LNC005432)". The record is from RNAcentral. Lineage: Eukaryota; Viridiplantae; Streptophyta; Magnoliopsida; Vitales; Vitaceae.